CAAUAGCGUAUAUUAAAGUUGUCGCAGUUAAAAAGCUCGUAGUUGGAUUUCUGGUUGAAGCGACCGGUCGGGCGUUGAUUCGUCUGCACUGGAGUCGGUUUUGGCCAUCCUCUAGGAAAGUGCGUCUGGUAUUAAGUUAUCGGGCGUAUGAUCCUGGUCUUUUACUGUGAAAAAAUUAGAGUGUUUAAAGCAGGCCUUCGCCUUGAAUACAUUAGCAUGGAAUAAUAAGAUAGGACUUUGGUCUAUUUUGUUGGUUUGCAGACCGAAGUAAUGAUUAAUAGGGAUAGUUGGGGGUAUUUAUAUUCCGAUGUCAGAGGUGAAAUUCUUAGAUUUUCGGAAGAUAAACUUAUGCGAAAGCAUUUACCAAGGAUGUUUUCAUUAA
This 382-nucleotide ribosomal RNA is filed under the name uncultured eukaryote. RNAcentral's name for it is "partial 18S ribosomal RNA". It matches the Rfam family "Eukaryotic small subunit ribosomal RNA", at positions 592 to 976 of the family's 1831-position model. The record is from RNAcentral.